CUCUGCUGCCGCACUGGCUGAACCGGUUGUCUUUCUCUGGCUCCGGUCGUGCUCCCACAGGUGCCGUCUGUUAUGCUCAGUCCGAAGAUAUUCUGUAGCAGACGACAUGGCCAAUGGUGUCGUCUGCUAUGCAUGCUCAACAUAAGACGCAGCAGAACUUCCUGUCUUUCCAGAAGUCCUGUCAGCAGCUUUUUAGUUUUCCUCCCACUAUAUGUCGGUAGAAUAUUCUGCGGGGACGUCCCUCAUAUGGCGCCCGGAUUAAAUUGAAUGGCGCUCGGAUUAUUUCAGAUGGCACCUGGACUAAUUCAGAUGACACUUGGACUAAAAUGGACGGGAAAAGCUGUAGUUAAUACAAAAUCAGAAUAGGAAAAAAAUAUGUGAUCCCCUGAUGAUUAGCUCGCAAUAUUACUGCAAGUUUUGGAAGCACUUCGUGUAUUCGAAUACAUGGGCUUUCGCAUUGGACAUCUCAAGGGAAGAAUCUACGCACAUUUGAACGUUCUGCGUCGUAUCACCAGCUACCGCUGGGGAACAUCGACAGCGUCUCUCUUUACUGAACGCUGAUUCGGCAGAUGAUG
Long non-coding RNA from Ornithodoros turicata, 575 nucleotides. RefSeq lists it as uncharacterized. The transcript is spliced from 3 exons. NCBI's taxonomy places the organism in Eukaryota, Metazoa, Arthropoda, Arachnida, Ixodida, Argasidae. The record is from RefSeq and is a predicted model, not a curated record.